UACGGAGGGGGCUAGCGUUAUUCGGAAUUACUGGGCGUAAAGCGCACGUAGGCGGCUUUGUAAGUAAGAGGUGAAAGCCCGGAGCUCAACUCCGGAACUGCCUUUUAGACUGCAUCGCUUGAAUCCAGGAGAGGUGAGUGGAAUUCCGAGUGUAGAGGUGAAAUUCGUAGAUAUUCGGAAGAACACCAGUGGCGAAGGCGGCUCACUGGACUGGUAUUGACGCUGAGGUGCGAAAGCGUGGGGAGCGAUCCGG
This 253-nucleotide ribosomal RNA is filed under the name uncultured bacterium. RNAcentral's name for it is "partial 16S ribosomal RNA". It matches the Rfam family "Bacterial small subunit ribosomal RNA", at positions 524 to 776 of the family's 1533-position model. The record is from RNAcentral.